This 255-nucleotide ribosomal RNA is filed under the name uncultured bacterium. RNAcentral's name for it is "partial 16S ribosomal RNA". It matches the Rfam family "Bacterial small subunit ribosomal RNA", at positions 524 to 775 of the family's 1533-position model. The record is from RNAcentral.
AACGUAGGAGACAAACGUUAUCCGGAAUCACUGGGCGUAAAGGGCGCGUAGGUGGCCUGUGGAAGUCUGCGGUGAAAGCCCGGCGCUCAACGCCGGGUCGGCCGUGGAUACUCUCGGGCUCGAGCUUACUAGAGGCAGAUGGAAUUCCGGGGUGUAGCGGUGGAAUGCGUAGAGAUCCGGAAGAACACCGGUGGCGAAGGCGGUCUGCUGGGGUAAUGCUGGACACUGAUGCGCGACAGCGUGGGGAGCAACAGG